RNAcentral lists this ribosomal RNA (238 nucleotides) under uncultured bacterium. RNAcentral's name for it is "partial 16S ribosomal RNA". It matches the Rfam family "Bacterial small subunit ribosomal RNA", at positions 112 to 353 of the family's 1533-position model. The record is from RNAcentral.
AAUGUCUGGGAAACUGCCUGAUGAGGGGGAUAACUACUGGAAACGGUAGCUAAUACCGCAUAACGUCGAAAGACCAAANAGGGGGACCUUCGGGCCUCUUGCCAUCGGAUGUGCCCAGAUGGGAUUAGCUUGUUGUGGGGUAAUGGCUCACCAAGGCGACGAUCCCUAGCUGGUCUGAGAGGAUGACCAGCCACACUGGAACUGAGACACGGUCCAAACUCCUACGGGAGGCAGCAUG